CCUACGGGAGGCAGCAGUGAGGAAUAUUGGUCAAUGGACGCAAGUCUGAACCAGCCAUGCCGCGUGCAGGAUGACGGUCCUAUGGAUUGUAAACUGCUUUUGUACAGGAAGAAACACUCCCUCGUGAGGGAGCUUGACGGUACUGUAAGAAUAAGGAUCGGCUAACUCCGUGCCAGCAGCCGCGGUAAUACGGAGGAUCCAAGCGUUAUCCGGAAUCAUUGGGUUUAAAGGGCCCGUAGGCGGUUUUAUAAGUCAGUGGUGAAAUCUGGUCGCUCAACGAUCAAACGGCCAUUGAUACUGUAGAACUUGAAUUACUUGGAAGUAACUAGAAUAUGUAGUGUAGCGGUGAAAUGCUUAGAGAUUACAUGGAAUACCAAUUGCGAAGGCAGGUUACUACAAGUAUAUUGACGCUGAUGGACGAAAGCGUGGGGAGCGAACAGGAUUAGAUACCCUGGUAGUCCACGCCGUAAACGAUGGAUACUAGCUGUUCGGAGCAAUCUGAGUGGCUAAGCGAAAGUGAUAAGUAUCCCACCUGGGGAAGUACGUUCGCAAGAAUUGAAACUUAAUUGAUUGNGNGNGAGAGNGCGAGACGACGACGAGGAGGAGG
This 607-nucleotide ribosomal RNA is filed under the name uncultured bacterium. RNAcentral's name for it is "bacterial SSU rRNA". It matches the Rfam family "Bacterial small subunit ribosomal RNA", at positions 338 to 944 of the family's 1533-position model. The record is from RNAcentral.